This is a non-coding RNA of Danio rerio (zebrafish), 711 nucleotides long. Lineage: Eukaryota; Metazoa; Chordata; Actinopteri; Cypriniformes; Danionidae. The record is from Ensembl.
UUAUCAGCAGGUGGAGAGACCGUCUGGGCAGCAGAAACAAGACAACUAAUCAUAGUUGAGUUGAGAUUAGUAUUAUUAACUUGACUAGUUUGGUUGCAGACUUCUUCAAUACUUAACAAUUUGUAUAAGUUACAAGAUCAAUGGUCCUGCUAUCAAUGUUUUUGUAACUUAAAUUCAUUACAGUUUAGAUACAAUCAAAUGUCCAAACCAUCUCUGAGUGAAUGACAUCAAGGAAACAGGAUCAAAAAGAUCAUUCAUUAUAGACCGUUUCAUAGUUGGUUAUAUUUUUCAGGUCCUCCUGAUCAUUCUGUUCUCCUGGUUGUGAGGAUGUGCAGAGGCUGUAUUUGUCAGUGUUAAAAGACUUGUGCAGCUGUAUCUAGACAUACAAGCAGCCGACAAAGAGUUCUGGAGCAGGACAGACAGGGCAGCACGGUGGCGCAGAGGGUAGCACGUUUGCCUCACAGCAAGAAGGUUGCUGCUUCAAGCUUCGGCUGGAUUGGUGUACGCUGAUGGUCUGCUGAGAAUUCUGCUGAGUUGAAGGGAUCCUCCUGUCAGACAACCUCUCCAAAGUACAAUAGGACUAGGUUCCCACUACAAGGAUUAGAUUUGGCUACUGCAGUCCCGGUUUGGGCCAGCCUCACUUGUGAAGACUAAAGAUGAAGACAACAUACAAGAACAAUUUAGAGGAUGGCGACACACUUUUUAUUCCAC